UUCGCAAUGCCCGAAAGGGUGACGAAGCGACGCCGCGUGCGGGAAGAAGGCCUUCGGGUUGUAAACCACUGUCGGGAGUUAAGAAAUGCAAGGAUAUUAAUAGUGUCUUUGUUUGACUAAGGCUCCGGAGGAAGCCACGGCUAACUCUGUGCCAGCAGCCGCGGUAAUACAGAGGCGGCAAGCGUUGUUCGGAAUUAUUGGGCGUAAAGAGCACGUAGGCGGCUAUGUAAGUCGGUUGUGAAAGCCUUCCGCUCAACGGAAGAACAGCAUCCGAUACUACAUGGCUUGAGUGCGGGAGGGGAGAGUGGAACUUCUGGUGGAGCGGUGAAAUGCGUAGAUAUCAGAAGGAACGCCGGCGGCGAAAGCGGCUCUCUGGCCCAUAACUGACGCUGAGUGUGCGAAAGCUAGGGGAGCAAACGGGAUUAGAUACCCCGGUAGUCCUAGCCGUAAACGAUGGGCACUAAGUAGAGGGGUUUU
RNAcentral lists this ribosomal RNA (477 nucleotides) under uncultured bacterium. Its description in RNAcentral is "bacterial SSU rRNA". It matches the Rfam family "Bacterial small subunit ribosomal RNA", at positions 365 to 832 of the family's 1533-position model. The record is from RNAcentral.